Molecule: non-coding RNA, 214 nt
Organism: Cinara cedri
Lineage: Eukaryota; Metazoa; Arthropoda; Insecta; Hemiptera; Aphididae
Source: the annotation of a GenBank genome assembly
GUUUUUACGAUUAUAAGUACCUACCUAUACCUAAUUACCAAUAAUUAGAGUUUAUUAAACUAUUAACAUGAUACUAAUAAUGAAACUUCUUAUAUUUUUUAAAAUAAAUAAAAUAAUGUUAAAUUUGUUAUGCUACCAUUACACUCUUCUACAAUAAUACAACUCGUUUCCCUAUAGUGCUUUCAGACGAAACACUUUAUUGCAGACUACAACA